Molecule: unclassified non-coding RNA, 148 nt
Organism: Pongo abelii (Sumatran orangutan)
Lineage: Eukaryota; Metazoa; Chordata; Mammalia; Primates; Hominidae
Rfam family: Metazoan signal recognition particle RNA
About the family: The signal recognition particle (SRP) is a universally conserved ribonucleoprotein.
Source: Ensembl
GCCGGGCGUGGUGGCGGGCGCCUGUAAUCCCAGCUACUUGGGAGGCUGGGGCAGGAGAAUUGCUCAAACCCGGGAGGCAGAGGUUGCAGUGAGCCAAGAUCGUGUCACUGCACUCCAGCCUGGGUGACAGAGCAAGACUCUGUCUCAG